Molecule: ribosomal RNA, 783 nt
Filed under: uncultured Lactobacillus sp.
Lineage: Bacteria; Bacillati; Bacillota; Bacilli; Lactobacillales; Lactobacillaceae
Description: bacterial SSU rRNA
Rfam family: Bacterial small subunit ribosomal RNA
Source: RNAcentral
GCGAAGGCGGCUGUCUGGUCUGUAACUGACGCUGAGGCUCGAAAGUAUGGGUAGCAAACAGGAUUAGAUACCUGGUAGUCCAUACCGUAAACGAUGAAUGCUAAGUGUUGGAGGGUUCCGCCUUUCAGUGCUGCAGCUAACGCAUUAAGCAUUCCGCUGGGGAGUACGGCCGCAAGGCUGAAACUCAAAGGAAUUGACGGGGGCCCGCACAGCGGUGGAGCAUGUGGUUUAAUUCGAAGCUACGCGAAGAACCUUACCAGGUCUUGACAUACUAUGCAAAUCUAAGAGAUUAGACGUUCCCUUCGGGGACAUGGAUACAGGUGGUGCAUGGUUGUCGUCAGCUCGUGUCGUGAGAUGUUGGGUUAAGUCCCGCAACGAGCGCAACCCUUAUUAUCAGUUGCCAGCAUUAAGUUGGGCACUCUGGUGAGACUGCCGGUGACAAACCGGAGGAAGGUGGGGAUGACGUCAAAUCAUCAUGCCCCUUAUGACCUGGGCUACACACGUGCUACAAUGGAUGGUACAACGAGUUGCGAACUCGCGAGAGUAAGCUAAUCUCUUAAAGCCAUUCUCAGUUCGGAUUGUAGGCUGCAACUCGCCUACAUGAAGUCGGAAUCGCUAGUAAUCGCGGAUCAGCAUGCCGCGGUGAAUACGUUCCCGGGCCUUGUACACACCGCCCGUCACACCAUGAGAGUUUGUAACACCCAAAGUCGGUGGGGUAACCUUUAGGAACCAGCCGCCUAAGGUGGGACAGAUGAUUAGGGUGAAGUCGUAACAAGGUAACCA